RNAcentral lists this ribosomal RNA (460 nucleotides) under uncultured bacterium. Its description in RNAcentral is "partial 16S ribosomal RNA". It matches the Rfam family "Bacterial small subunit ribosomal RNA", at positions 338 to 795 of the family's 1533-position model. The record is from RNAcentral.
CCUACGGGCGGCAGCAGUGAGGAAUAUUGGUCAAUGGACGAGAGUCUGAACCAGCCAAGUAGCGUGAAGGAUGACUGCCCUAUGGGUUGUAAACUUCUUUUAUAUGGGAAUAAAAUGUUCCACGUGUGGGUUUUUGUAUGUACCAUAUGAAUAAGGAUCGGCUAACUCCGUGCCAGCAGCCGCGGUAAUACGGAGGAUGCGAGCGUUAUCCGGAUUUAUUGGGUUUAAAGGGAGCGUAGGUGGAUUGUUAAGUCAGUUGUGAAAGUUUGCGGCUCAACCGUAAAAUUGCAGUUGAAACUGGCAGUCUUGAGUACAGUAGAGGUGGGCGGAAUGCGUGGUGUAGCGGUGAAAUGCUUAGAUAUCACGAAGAACUCCGAUUGCGAAGGCAGCUCACUGGACUGCAACUGACACUGAGGCUCGAAAGUGUGGGUAUCAAACAGGAUUAGAUACCCCGGUAGUC